Molecule: ribosomal RNA, 657 nt
Filed under: uncultured bacterium
Lineage: Bacteria
Description: bacterial SSU rRNA
Rfam family: Bacterial small subunit ribosomal RNA
Source: RNAcentral
UCUAUGCCGCAGUUAAACAAUAAGUAUUCCGCCUGGGAAGUACGAUCGCAAGAUUAAAACUCAAAGGAAUUGACGGGGGCCCGCACAAGCAGCGGAGCAUGUGGUUUAAUUCGAAGCAACGCGAAGAACCUUACCUAGACUUGACAUCUCCUGAAUUACUCGUAAUGGAGGAAGCCCUUCGGGGCAGGAAGACAGGUGGUGCAUGGUUGUCGUCAGCUCGUGUCGUGAGAUGUUAGGUUAAGUCCUGCAACGAGCGCAACCCUUAUUAUUAGUUGCUACCAUUAAGUUGAGCACUCUAGUAAGACUGCCCGGGUCAACCGGGAGGAAGGUGGGGAUGACGUCAAAUCAUCAUGCCCCUUAUGUCUAGGGCUACACACGUGCUACAAUGGUGAGUACAGAGAGAUGCAAACCCGUGAGGGGGAGCAAAACUCAAAAACUUAUCUCAGUUCGGAUUGUAGGCUGAAACUCGCCUACAUGAAGCUGGAGUUGCUAGUAAUCGCGAAUCAGCAUGUCGCGGUGAAUACGUUCCCGGGCCUUGUACACACCGCCCGUCACACCAUGAGAGCUGGCAACACCCGAAGUCCGUGAGGUAACCGUAAGGGACCAGCGGCCGAAGGUGGGGUUAGUGAUUGGGGUGAAGUCGUAACAAGGUAGCCG